Molecule: ribosomal RNA, 290 nt
Filed under: Bacillus subtilis
Lineage: Bacteria; Bacillati; Bacillota; Bacilli; Caryophanales; Bacillaceae
Description: partial 16S ribosomal RNA
Rfam family: Bacterial small subunit ribosomal RNA
Source: RNAcentral
UUAUUGGGCGUAAGGGCUCGCAGGCGGUUUCUUAAGUCUGAUGUGAAAGCCCCCGGCCUCACCGGGGAGGGUCAUUGGAAACUGGGAAACUUGAGUGCCCAAGAGGAGAGUGGAAUUCCACGUGUAGCGGUGAAAUGCGUAGAGAUGUGGAGGAACACCAGUGGCGAAGGCGACUCUCUGGUCUGUAACUGACGCUGAGGAGCGAAAGCGUGGGGAGCGAACAUGAUUAACUUCCCUGGUCAUCCCCGCCGGAAACGAUGAUUGCUUAUUGUUAGGAUCCUUCCCCCCCU